CCAUGAAUCUGGUCUUGGGACACUGUCAGGUGGGCAGUUUGACUGGGGCGGUCGCCUCCCAAAAGGUAACGGAGGCGCUCAAAGGUUCUCUCAGUACGGUCGGAAAUCGUACGUAGAGUGUAAAGGCAAAAGAGAGCUUGAUUGCAAGACAUACAGGUCGAGCAAGGAUGAAAAUCGGACUUAGUGAUCCGGUGGUUCUGCGUGGAAGGGCCAUCGCUCAACGGAUAAAAGCUACCCUGGGGAUAACAGGCUUAUCUCCCCCAAGAGUCCACAUCGACGGGGAGGUUUGGCACCUCGAUGUCGGCUCAUCACAUCCUGGGGCUGUAGUAGGUCCCAAGGGUUGGGCUGUUCGCCCAUUAAAGUGGUACGCGAGCUGGGUUCAGAACGUCGUGAGACAGUUCGGUCCCUAUCCGUCGCAGGCGUAGGAAAUUUGAGAAGACCUGUCCUUAGUACGAGAGGACCGGGAUGGACGUACCUCUGGUGUACCAGUUGUUCUGCCAAGGGCAUGGCUGGGUAGCUAUGUACGGAAUGGAUAAGCGCUGAAAGCAUCUAAGCGCGAAGCCAACUUCAAGAUAAGAUUUCCCACCGCAAGGGUAAGACCCCAGAAAGACUA
Molecule: ribosomal RNA, 613 nt
Filed under: Clostridioides difficile
Lineage: Bacteria; Bacillati; Bacillota; Clostridia; Peptostreptococcales; Peptostreptococcaceae
Description: bacterial LSU rRNA
Rfam family: Bacterial large subunit ribosomal RNA
Source: RNAcentral